GAUGAACGCUGGCGGCGUGCCUAAUACAUGCAAGUCGAACGAAACUUCUUUAUCACCGAGUGCUUGCACUCACCGAUAAAGAGUUGAGUGGCGAACGGGUGAGUAACACGUGGGCAACCUGCCCAAAAGAGGGGGAUAACACUUGGAAACAGGUGCUAAUACCGCAUAACCAUAGUUACCGCAUGGUAACUAUGUAAAAGGUGGCUAUACUACCGCUUUUGGAUGGUCCCGCGGCGCAUUAGCUAGUUGGUAGGGUAAAGGCUUACCAAGGCAAUGAUGCGUAGCCGAAUUGAGAGGUUGAUCGGCCACAUUGGGACUGAGACACGGCCCAAACUCCUACGGGAGGCAGCAGUAGGGAAUCUUCCACAAUGGGCGAAAGCCUGAUGGAGCAACGCCGCGUGGGUGAAGAAGGUCUUCGGAUCGUAAAACCCUGUUGUGAGAGAAGAAAGUGCGUGAGAGUAACUGUUCACGUUUCGACGGUAUCUAACCAGAAAGCCACUGCUAACUACGU
This 511-nucleotide ribosomal RNA is filed under the name uncultured bacterium. RNAcentral describes it as "partial 16S ribosomal RNA". It matches the Rfam family "Bacterial small subunit ribosomal RNA", at positions 28 to 506 of the family's 1533-position model. The record is from RNAcentral.